Neofelis nebulosa (Clouded leopard) is the source of this 1299-nucleotide long non-coding RNA. RefSeq lists it as uncharacterized. NCBI's taxonomy places the organism in Eukaryota, Metazoa, Chordata, Mammalia, Carnivora, Felidae. The record is from RefSeq and is a predicted model, not a curated record. The transcript is spliced from 3 exons.
CAUAGCUAUUCACUAAACACAUGAUAACUCAUAUCUGCAAGUGACCAAGUGUAUUUAUAUCACUCAAUAAAAUCUUGCUGAUGCUGUCAGGCUGGGUCCAAGGACCCAGAGGGCGUUCCCAAGACCAGCCAAGAGGGUCCUUGGCUUCAUAUAGGAUGGAAAUCAAACAUGAACCAGCAGGAGGUGAGAGCAGAGGUUACCAGAGGUACAGAGAAAGCAGGUACAGACGGAGCCCCUGGGAGACUCAGAAAGGAGCAGGGGUCUCGUCUUUGUUUGGGGUGUGGCAUCCAGGAACUGGUCAGAACAAAGACGAAGGCCCGCGUGUUACUCCUCGGAGCCAGGGUCCCCGCGUGGGGACGUCCGGCUCCGUGGUCUGGAAUUGCCCUGGGAUGGCUCCUCUCCUGGUCCUUCCUGGGACGUUUUCUAUUGUAGAGCAGUCAUUGACUCCAUGUCCCUUACAGGGAGGACACACACUGUUUGCACCGUGCAGCGUGUGUGAUGUGGGGGUGCCGGUCCUGGCAGGAACGCAAGCAGGAAAAGGAGCAAACAGCAGAUUUGUAUGGAGUCUUUCAGUUUCUCUGCCUCCCUCACUCCUUGUCAAAGGAACAGAACAGCCACCUGCUAGUAAUGGUCUUCCACAUUUUCCUUAGUCUUUUUGUUCCAAGCUAGAAGAAUGGUUCGCUAUAUCCCCUUCAUAAAGGACCAGUAUGAUCGAGCACAAUGCCCAGGAUGCAUAAACCAACAUUUAUUAUUAGCUGAGUGGCCCAGAAUUACUAAGAGCUGUUAGAAACCUGUGGAUCUUUCCUGGUAAUUUUGUCCCCAGCGUGGGGCUCGAACUCACGACCCUGAGAUCAAGAGUUGUAUGCUCUACUGACAGAGCCAGGCAGGCGCCCCACUUGAGUCUCUAAAUGUAUUUAAUAUGCAACAACAUAUAGAGGAAUACAUGGUAAAUUCUAUUUAUUUAUGCAUGGGAUGAGUUGCUUUUAUUGGCAAGAGGAAGAGGAAGAUCCCCUGAAUUUGGAGCUGCUGGGAAUAUAGCAUCCCAGGAUUAGAGGCUUGGGAGAGGCAAACAUUCUCCCUGGAGGGGAUUGUGUGGUCCAGUGCUUUUUUUCUGUUGUUUAAGAGAUGAAGGAAAUGAGGCCCAGGGAAGACAGGAGACUUGACAGGGUUGGAUGCCCAGUUACUGGCCAGCCUAGCAUGUAAUGGGGUCCAGAUAUUCCAGUUUCCCGUGCAGAGGCACUAAGGUGAAGGGUUAAGAGCACAGGCUUGGAUGUCCAGGAGGCUUGGGUUGGCUGCCUG